Molecule: ribosomal RNA, 435 nt
Filed under: Armillifer armillatus
Lineage: Eukaryota; Metazoa; Arthropoda; Ichthyostraca; Porocephalida; Armilliferidae
Description: SSU rRNA
Rfam family: Eukaryotic small subunit ribosomal RNA
Source: RNAcentral
UCGGUUAAAAAGCUCGUAGUUGGAUCUCGGUUCGUGGCGAUCGGACCGUCUUCGCGACGGGUUCCAGAUCGAUCCGAACAGAAAUAGCCGGUUAGCCUGGCGAUGCUCUUCAUCGAGUGUGUGUCGGGCGGCUGGUACGUUUACUUUGAAAAAAUUAGAGUGCUCAAAGCAGGCCUUAGCGCCAGAAUAAUAGUGCAUGGAAUAAUGGAAUAGGAUCUCGGUUCUAUUUUGUUGGUUCUCGGAACACGAGAUAAUGAUUAAUAGGAACAGACGGGGGCAUUCGUAUUGCGACGUUAGAGGUGAAAUUCUUGGAUCGUCGCAAGACGGACUACUGCGAAAGCAUUUGCCAAGAAUGUUUUCAUUAAUCAAGAACGAAAGUUAGAGGUUCGAAGGCGAUCAGAUACCGCCCUAGUUCUAACCAUAAACGAUGCCAAC